This 249-nucleotide unclassified non-coding RNA is filed under the name Hevea brasiliensis (rubber tree). The record is from RNAcentral. Lineage: Eukaryota; Viridiplantae; Streptophyta; Magnoliopsida; Malpighiales; Euphorbiaceae.
AAAAAACACUUCAGCUAGUUGCAGGUUCUGAGCAGAAACCAAUUGAUUAAGUGAACAUAAUUAAUAUGAUGUUUUGAUUAUGUUUAGUUGGUAACAGAGUCCUCCUGUCCUGUGGUAAAUUUGUGUGGUGUCUUACCAAAUGAUUGCGUUGGAAACAAGUUAUUGUAAUAGCUGGGGAUACAUAUAGGUAUAAUUAACACUGUUAAAAUGCUCCAAACUAUCCUCUUAUUCCAGAAAAGAGAUUCUUAA